This 468-nucleotide ribosomal RNA is filed under the name uncultured bacterium. RNAcentral's name for it is "partial 16S ribosomal RNA". It matches the Rfam family "Bacterial small subunit ribosomal RNA", at positions 28 to 507 of the family's 1533-position model. The record is from RNAcentral.
GACGUACGCUGGCGGCGUGCUUAACACAUGCAAGUCGAACGGAAAGGCCCUGCUUUUGUGGGGUGCUCGAGUGGCGAACGGGUGAGUAACACGUGAGUAACCUGCCCUUGACUUUUGGAUAACUUCAGGAAACUGGGGCUAAUACCGGAUAGGAGCUCCUGCUGCAUGGUGGGGGUUGGAAAGUUUCGGCGGUUGGGGAUGGACUCGCGGCUUAUCAGCUUGUUGGUGGGGUAGUGGCUUACCAAGGCUUUGACGGGUAGCCGGCCUGAGAGGGUGACCGGCCACAUUGGGACUGAGAUACGGCCCAGACUCCUACGGGAGGCAGCAGUGGGGAAUAUUGCACAAUGGGCGGAAGCCUGAUGCAGCAACGCCGCGUGCGGGAUGACGGCCUUCGGGUUGUAAACCGCUUUCGCCUGUGACGAAGCGUGAGUGACGGUAAUGGGUAAAGAAGCACCGGCUAACUACGUG